UAGGGAAUCUUCGGCAAUGGACGGAAGUCUGACCGAGCAACGCCGCGUGAGUGAAGAAGGUUUUCGGAUCGUAAAGCUCUGUUGACGGGGACGAACGUGCGAAGGGUGAAUAAUCCUUUGCAAUGACGGUACCUAUCGAGGAAGCCACGGCUAACUACGUGCCAGCAGCCGCGGUAAUACGUAGGUGGCGAGCGUUGUCCGGAAUCAUUGGGCGUAAAGGGAGCGCAGGCGGGCAUGUAAGUCUUUCUUAAAAGUUCGGGGCUCAACCCCGUGAUGGGAAAGAAACUACAUGUCUUGAGUACAGGAGAGGAAAGCGGAAUUCCCAGUGUAGCGGUGAAAUGCGUAGAUAUUGGGAGGAACACCAGUGGCGAAGGCGGCUUUCUGGACUGCAACUGACGCUGAGGCUCGAAAGCCAGGGGAGCGAACGGGAUUAGAUACCCCGGUAGUCCUGGCCGUAAACGAUGGAUACUAGGUGUGGGAGGUAUCGACCCCUACCGUGCCGGAGUUAACGCAAUAAGUAUCCCGCCUGGGGAGUACGGUCGCAAGACUG
This 550-nucleotide ribosomal RNA is filed under the name uncultured bacterium. RNAcentral describes it as "bacterial SSU rRNA". It matches the Rfam family "Bacterial small subunit ribosomal RNA", at positions 355 to 896 of the family's 1533-position model. The record is from RNAcentral.